RNAcentral lists this ribosomal RNA (716 nucleotides) under uncultured organism. RNAcentral's name for it is "SSU rRNA". It matches the Rfam family "Bacterial small subunit ribosomal RNA", at positions 767 to 1482 of the family's 1533-position model. The record is from RNAcentral.
AGCAAAACAGGAUUAGAUACCCUGGUAGUCCACGCCGUAAACGAUGUCGACUUGGAGGUUGUGCCCUUGAGGCGUGGCUUCCGGAGCUAACGCGUUAAGUCGACCGCCUGGGGAGUACGGCCGCAAGGUUAAAACUCAAAUGAAUUGACGGGGGCCCGCACAAGCGGUGGAGCAUGUGGUUUAAUUCGAUGCAACGCGAAGAACCUUACCUGGUCUUGACAUCCACGGAAGUUUUCAGAGAUGAGAAUGUGCCUUCGGGAACCGUGAGACAGGUGCUGCAUGGCUGUCGUCAGCUCGUGUUGUGAAAUGUUGGGUUAAGUCCCGCAACGAGCGCAACCCUUAUCCUUUGUUGCCAGCGGUCCGGCCGGGAACUCAAAGGAGACUGCCAGUGAUAAACUGGAGGAAGGUGGGGAUGACGUCAAGUCAUCAUGGCCCUUACGACCAGGGCUACACACGUGCUACAAUGGCGCAUACAAAGAGAAGCAACCUCGCGAGAGCAAGCAGACCUCAUAAAGUACGUCGUAGUCCGGAUUGGAGUCUGCAACUCGACUCCAUGAAGUCGGAAUCGCUAGUAAUCGUGGAUCAGAAUGCCACGGUGAAUACGUUCCCGGGCCUUGUACACACCGCCCGUCACACCAUGGGAGUGGGUUGCAAAAGAAGUAGGUAGCUUAACCUUCGGGAGGGCGCUUACCACUUUGUGAUUCAUGACUGGGGUG